GAUGAGGAACAAUUGGCACAUAAUGCAUAAGUUUGCUUUAUAAUUGACAAAUUAAAAGAAUUUUUCAUUUUUGAAUUUCAAUACAACUACAACCUAGUACAGCGAAUUAAUGCAUCUUUCUUUUAUCAAAUUUUCAAGGCCUCACCCACCAUUACUUGGAAAAAGUCGUGUCUUUUCCUUGGCUACUAUUAGCAAAUUAAAAGUCUAAUUAAUUAGCCCAGAUCGAAGAUUUUGAUUUUGAUUUUUAAUUAUUAAUUAAGUUCGAUAUAAAUAAACAGAACCGGAUGACUUGUAAGUACCAUUGUUGGAACAAGGGUAGAAGUCACCAGGCUGUCCAUUAACAGUGAAAGCGUCUGAAUUUAUGUCACUGCCUGAGUCAAUAUAGUCAAGGACAGCCUCCUUGACAUCCUUUUUCCACCAUUCACCUGGCGAUGUUGUGAAGAUCAAAUAAAAAGACAAUAUAUGUUAGUAAAAGACUUAAGAAUUUGAAAAAAAAAAAAUUACUAGAACUUAAUUUUUACGUACCUAAAAUGAUGGGAAUAUCAUAAGUAGUUCUGGAUUUUGAAUGGACAAUGAAAGCGCCAUGAACUGUAGCGCUUUGCCAGAUGUUCAUGGCGUGCCACCAUAGCGUCCCUUCCUUGUCAAAUAUUGUGACGUUUUUUCUUAGUUUAAACCCUGGCUCAAUUAGCCAGUUCACUUGAUCAGACUUCAAAGUGUUUUCCCUCACGCUUACAACUACAAAGAAAGGGGAAAAAAAAACGAUCAGUAACAACUUAAACAAACAAACAAAAACAAUGAAAAAGUAGAAUGUACCAAAAUAUUGUAACGUUGUCCUUCCCUCUAUUUUCAACGUCUAGGGCGAACGUUUCUCCAGCCCGCGCAUAUAUGGUAGGCCCUGGGAAUCGUCCGUUGAUAGUAAGAAUCUUCUUCGAUUGGCAAAGCCUAUCGAAAGAAGUUUCUUCAAUCUGUUGAUAGUACAAGAUAAAAUUGAUUAGUACGCAAAUCAAACGAUAAUUUUAAUGUUGCAAAAAACUAGUCAAUGAACAGACAAUACUUACAACGAAAUGAAAAAUAGUACUCCUAUUAUUUUGUGUUGAAGCGGUGUACUGAACCGCGAAAAAUAUGAUAAGUACCAAGCUAGUGUUGGCCUCUUUUUGGAAUGCCAUUUUUCUUUGCUAAAGAGUUAUAGAAGUCGCAAUUUUUGAGAAAAAGAUGAAGAAGGGCCCUAUCUUUUAAAGAAUGUAAUUAUCCUGGAGUCAAUUUAGAAUCUUUAUACUAGAUUAAAAGAAAGAAGAAGUUGUCUCACACAUUUCACUAAGAAAUGAAGAGGAGAAAUAUAUAUAGAGGAGAAAGGGGAAUAGAGCUCUAUCUAUUCAUAUGCAGAAAAAUUUAGUUCUUUCUCAAUUUGGAUAGAAGUCAAAUAAACAGGUUAAUCAGAUUGAAUUUGAGCAGGUUGUUAAAAAUUAGACGCAAAGGUCAUAAGUGUAAAAUCAUUUUGAGCUUCCUAUAAUACUUAUAACUUAUAAACUUAUAGCUUACAUUUUUCUAUAUAUGGUUUUAAAAGUUUUUUAAAAAAAUAUUCUUGUUGUGUUCAUAUCUAUCUUUGUUUUUUCUGUUUCAUUGAUCAAGUAUGAAAAAAAUAUAGAAACAGAAAAGUUCUCUUAUUUAGAUAAAUUUACUAGUUUUGCAUAGAAGAUUGGUAAUGUUUGAAUAAUACGUCACUACAUAACUAGAUAAAAUUAAUUGAGAGCAAUAACUACAAAAAAUAAAAUGAUAGUGGAUAUCUGAAAUAUAACUAAUUUAAGAUAUUUAUCACAUUAUGUAAGACCAUUAAGAUAUCACUUUUUAGGAAAAAGAAGAGACAUAAAAUAAAAAUUAAAUUCAAUAAAAUUUCCCAUCGUAUGAUAACAAACAAUUAUACUUUAUUGCUAUCACUAUCAUAUUGAUUACACCCAUAAGUAGGAAAAAGCAAAAAUAAAAAAAUAAGAACCAAAUAAGUAAUGUAAUACUUUAAAAUUAAAAGUUAAAACAUUCAAAAAUAUACAAAAACUAUAAAUUAUAAAUUGUCGUGUCAAUAUGAGCUAUUGCUAAUCUAAGUAGCCUAUGUUACAUAUUUAAUUCAAGAAGCAAAAUUAUUUACUCAUAAAAAACUAAAUUUUCUCUUCAAAAAAAUUCCUUUCAUGUAAAAGAAGUUUGGAUUAAUUAUGGAUAAAUAUGCAGUGGUCCCAACCUUUUUAUUUGUUUUGUACUACUUUUUACUCUCUUAUUCCUUAAUCUUUCUUACAGAUUACUAUUAUUAUUUGAAAUUUUUUAUUUUUCCAUAAAAAAAAAAACUAGUAUAAAUUAUGAUUUCUAAUACUCCUUUUAUCCAAAUUUAUGUAACAAUUUUUGUUUUUCGGAAGAUAAUUUGACUAAUUUUUAAAGUUGAAUUAAUAUUUUAAAAUUAAAAUUUAUCUAAAAAAACUAUAUGAUAAGUAUUAGCAACUGUAAUUUUUCUUAUGUCAAUAUGAUGAAAAAUAUAUAUUAUAAUAUUUUUAUAUAGCUUACAUAGUUUGAAUUUUAAGAAGCGAAAAAUGUCAUGUAAACAUAAAUUAGGACAAAAAAAUACUAUUUUUUGAAUAUGUUACUUUUAAUGGUCUAUUAGUACUAUUAACUAUGGGAGACGAGAGUAAUUGAAGGAUACCAGCUGAGGUAGUCAGCACAGUGUACCCCAAACAGCAAGUUGAAGUCAAUACGUAAACAUCAAAACAUAAAAAUAGAUAAUAUGCAGAGUAAAACUGACCACUAAGACUCAUAGAAACAGAAAAAAAUUCUUAUUUAGAUAAAUCUACUAGUUUUGCAUAGGAGAUUGGUAAUGUUUGAAUAAUACGUCAGCUACAUAACUAGAUAAAAUUAAUUGAGAGCAAUAACUACACAAAAUAAAUGAUAGUGGAUAAAUGAAUUAUAACUAAUUUUAGAUAUUUAUCACAUUAUGUAAGAACAUUAAUGUAUAGCUCUGUAGGGGGAAAAAAGAGACAUAAAAUAAAAAUUAAAUUGAAUAAAAUUUCCCCUCAUAUGAAAACAAACAAUUAUACUUUAUUGUUAUCUAUCACUAUCAUAUUGAUUACACCUAUAAGUAGGAAAAAGCAAAAAUUAAAAAAUAAGAACCAAAUAAGUAAUACUUUAAAAUUAAAAGUUAGACAUUUAAAAACUAUAAAAAAAAUAUAUAUAAAUUAUAAAUUGUCAUGAAAUACGAGCUAUUGCUAAUAUAAGUAGCCUAUGUUACAUAUUUAAUUCAAGAAGCAAAAUUAAUUCCCAAAUUUGGUGGGCCUCUUGGCCCAUUUUCGCCUGCACCUGUUGUGCAAAAGAUGGGCUUUGGCCCAGUUCCUCCCCCUGAAAAUCUGCAUAUACAAUAAGUAUAUACUCAUGUAUAUAGACUAUAUUUUAGCCUGUUUUCUAUAUAUCGGACUGUACACAGACUGUAUGCAGCCUAAUUCAGCUUCCAAGCACCUGUUUUAAUUUUUUGGACCUGUAUAUAUAUUGCACUCAACCUGUAUAUCAGUGUAUACUUAGUGUAUACAGUCCAUUUUCGGACUUCCCGAAACUUGUGAUCAAUUUCCAGCCCUCCCUAGGCCUAUUCCAAUGACCAGGCUGACUCAAUGAUAAAGAAUAUUUGAGCCUCUAUGGCUCAACUCGAGAAUGCAAGAGAGAAGUUCACCAUGGACUCGGAAGGGAUUCAUACGACAAAGAAAGGAGCCAAAUUAGUAUGUGAAAUAAGUAAGCAAUUAGGACAUAACUUAAUUAGAAUGAAAGUAACUUAAAUAUUUUUUAGCUAAAAAUGUCAGCCAAGUCACUAUUAGACCAAAUUGAGACCCAAAUGUCAUAAAUUUCAAUACAAGAUUGGAGGCUAUAAAACUAAUAUUAAACUAAUGAGAAAUCAUACACAAGGAAAUUCCAAGGGGCAUGCUUGUGUACAUAUGUGACAAUAAAAUCUAUAAGCAAUAACUAACACAACCCAAAAAUACAUAAAGACACGUGUUGCACAUUUGACUAAUAUCAUCUCAUAUAAUAAACGACACUAGAUUUAUCUAUGGGGACUUUUAAAGCUACCAUUUUUGUUAUACUAAAGAGUCAAAAAUUGGAGGCAGUAGCCAACUAACUCAUUAUAAGCAAAGGAAGAAAAUAACUACAAUCAAAUAACUAAACUAGGCAACAUAAGCAAACAUGUUAAACAAUGGCAUAAUAUAAAACAAUGUCCAUAGCACUGAGUUAAAUCGUCACAUUAUAAUGGUAGAGUUAAACAAUGGCAUAAUAUAAAACAAAAUCUUUACAAUUUCUUUCUUCUUUUUAAAGCCAAAUAGUGGAAGAGAUUUGAAAAUCCCUAAAAGGGGGGAAAAGGGAACAACGAUGUGAUCGAUUAGGUUGCUAGGGUUAUGGGUUUGCAGAUGGGUCACGUACCGGUUUCUUCUCAAAGAAGUUGGGUUGAAUUAGUAUUGGAUAUUGCUGUAUGUAAUGUUGCUGAAAAAUUGGGCUUUUGGGUAUGAAACUAAUUGGGCUGGAAAAUUGAAAGAUGUUGGGUCACUUUUUGGUAUUGCUGACGGGUCUUGAGAAUGGAGUGGAAUUUGGGCCAAAUCAAGGAGCAAAGUAUUGGGAAAAUAACCAAAUGGAUUGCAAACUUGGCCAAUUAGCCAUAUGAGUUUAAUUGGUGAUUCGGCUAAAAACUAAAUAAAACGAAUUAAUAUAAAUUAAUUAAUGAGCUUCUUAAUGUCAACGAAAUAAAAUAAUUAUCUUAAUUAUAAACUAUUAUAUAACUAAACUAAUUAACCAAAUAUUUAAUUAAAACUAAAAUCUUUUUUUGAGAAUAUUUCCGAAUAUUCACAAAAAUGUACUAAUUAUAUACGAAAUUAUGCAAAAACAUAUAUUUUAUUUAAAAAUUUAUAAAAAAAAGUGACAAAUAUAUUUAAAAUAACUUACAAACUAUAUUAUUUUAUUUUUUUGAAAUUUUAUAAAACUAAUUAUUUUAAAUCGUUUGAAAUUGAAGAAGCGCGAUGAUUGAUUUAUAUUGUGGAGGUCUAAAAUUGGGUGUCAACAGACCUAAUAAUCAAAUACCUCUAGGAAAAUUCUCUUUCAUUGUGUCAAUUUUGUGAUGUGAUCUUUACGUUUUAGGCUAAAAUCAUACUUCAAGUAUAGCCCAAAUUUAUGGUACAUCCUUGUGGUAUAAUUGUAAACAAAAAGCAUCCUUUAACUAUUCUAAACGUUGCAAUAAACAUCCUUAUGUUAACUUUUGUUAAAAAACUAACAGGUGAAAUAAAAAUAUGUGUCAAGCAUGUGAUUUUCCCAAAUCCCUAUAUUCGGUCGAAUUGAUUUUCUCUCAAUUAGAUGGCAAUGAGACUUGGAAAUUUAUAUGCAAUAUGCCUGCAAUCUCUUUCAGACCUCUUAUCAAAUAAGUAGAGGGCAAUUUACAUUGCCAUAGCAGAUCUUGAACAUGGUUAUUUCUAUUUGCCCUUUAUAAAUACAAUACUUCUUUCAAGACCAUAAAGACAGACAAGAAUAAAAACUAGCAUCCUAACCUUUCAUAAAGUACAAAACUCUUUCGCUUGGAACUAAUUAUUUUUCUGCCCGAAAGCAUAAAUAAAGUCGAACUAUUGUGCAUUAUCGUUCCUGGAGGAUGAAGAUGAUCAAUCCACUAAAUAUGGAGAUUUGGGGGAAUUCAUGUGCUUUACAUAUGAUUUUUAUUUCAGCUGUUAGUUUUUUAACAAAAGGAUGUUUGCCGCAAAGUUUAGGAUAGUUAAAGGAUGUUUUUGUUCACAAUAAUACCUUAUCCUAAGUUUGGGCUAUACUUCAGGGAUGAUUUUAGCCCAAAACACCAAAUAGUUGAUCGGAUUCACUGUUUACGCAAAUAUUAUACUUGAACACAAUAUGGGAUUAUAAGCACAAACUCACUAUCCAACCUUCUUGGUUUACUAGAAAUUUAACAUGUAUGCUUGCACUCUAGAAGCUAACAAGACUAGAAGAAAAGAGACCUUUUCUCUUGCCGUUUAUACACAAACAUGUACAUCUACUACAAACUUUAGAUGUCAAUUAUCUCAACAUGCAAUAAGCACCAACAAUUUUUUCAACAAAAUCUGAUAAUUGUCUCAAAAUUUUCAAUAAAUUUGAUGGUAACAAGUAAAAACAGAAAAAGGUCGGUUACAACGAGCCAACAAACAGCAAAACCAAAGUUUUCAUCCUUGUCAACAUGACGAAACCAAGAACUUUUCCACCAACAUUCUUUCUCCUAGCCUCUUCAUGGUCCAUGAUUCCAGCUGAGGUAGUCAGUACAAUGUAUCCGAACUGCAAGUAUACGUAAAGAUCAGACCAUAGAAAUAGAUAAUAUACAGAAUAACAAGUACGACUUUUACUCCAUCUGUGAUCGCAGAAAAUGCCUGCAAUUUCAUUUGCUUAGUAUCAAGUAUGAAAGAUAACAAUAUUAUAUACCUUAGAAAGGAUUUUUCAAUUGAUAUUAUUGUCAGAUAGAAGCACAAACGCCACAUGAACUUUCUCAAAUGGUACUCCUACACUAACCUAAGCACAAAAGAACAUUAGAACCUGAAACUAAGAGAAUUAUUCCUGAAGAAUAUCACAGAUGAAACAGAAAAGACUCCAAAAUAAAUGUUAACAUACACAUUAGAAGACCUAAGCACAAAAGAACAUUAGAACCUGUCUAAAUUGUUUCACUUCUUCGACAGUUCAACUCCUAAUUGGUUCUUCAUGUCUACAGACAGACAAGCCUCAGAAGAAAAAAGUUGAGUCAAAAGCUGAAGGGGUCAAUUAUUGUAAUUUUUUAUGACAAAAAUUACAAUAAUUAACCCUAUGACGACCUUCAGCUUUCUAUUAGAGAUUACAGCUUUUAAAAUAAUUAUUUUAAUUGUUCAACUGUUAUCUUUCCUUAGUUGGUUUAGGGACUUCCUACUCCUGGAUAACACUUUAUUUCUAGCAUUUAUUCAUCACAUAAUCCACGUCUACAAAAUUCAAAACACAAAAUUGUAGUGAAGUAGCUCAUCUAGAUGCAGCCACUGCCAACUUUGAACCCCAAUCAGAUCAACAAUAUGUUUGCUUUCAUACUAUGGUCCUAUAUCAGAAUUUUAAUUCAAUGGAGGAUAGGGAUCACAAAUCCACAUCUUAUAUUAUAAUUGCUGAGUCAGUGUGACAAGAAUUUUCAAAAGAAAAAACUCAAGGCCUGAAAGAUUUAUGAAUCAACUCUAGUAUUCAGAAAAUAUUUCCACUCAGAGGAGCUUGGGUUAGUUCAGCACGGCCCUUAGUGGCUUGACCUACAAAUAGAAACACUGGCCAAUUAUUCUUGGAAGGAUUAUCAUAAAUCUUAAGCUUGUGAUUGGAUCCCCUAGCUCAACAAUCCCUCCCAACCUACUUAUUGAACCUCUAACAUAACAGUUGAGGGAGAUAUACCUCACGGGGCUUGGGAUUGCCACCUAUAAUUUGUUGCCUUACUUGGCUAGUGGUUUAGUGAAAAAUUGGGAUAACACAAGAAGCAGUUGAAUAGUAAUCUUCAUCCCUGAUGGAUAAUUACAAAAUCAUAACAUGCGCUUCACUAACCUCCGGCAAGGCUGCAACUGGCUUCUUGUAAAGCAAGAAUAGAUUCAAUAUAAUGUUGUAAGAAGCAUGUCCCUGUAGUUGUUUCUCUAGGAAGGGCCGGCCACCUGCAAAUAAUUAGAAUGAGUUGUCAGAAGAUCUCAAUCCUAUGCAGCCACAAAUCCUUACAUUAGUAGUUACAUGGUGAAAUGAAAAACCAAAACUAUCAAUCAAGUCGCAAAAGAUUCUGCACAUUUUGGCUAAUGAAGACAAAAGUUAAAACAAUUUCUAAACCAACCACAUGAAAGCUUUUAUGUGCUCUACCUUUAUUCCAUUGUACCCAAGACCCGAUCUCAUGUUCGCGGUUUAUGCAAGCUCCGAUAGGGAGAAGAAAUAUAUUUGCCUGAAUAUAUUUCUUCUCCCUCCUUCUUUCACUAUCUUCAAUUUCCCCUUCACCGUUUCUGAAAACUUCGAACCCAAUUUCACUGUAACAAAAAAAAUCGAAUUGUUUUGAUGUAAAGAAGCAGAAAAGGAAAAUUUAGUUUAAAAAAAGUACAACAAACAAAUUGAAAUGGAAAGUAAAUACUAGAUGCAGUACGUACCAUGCUCACGAAUUCUAUAUGCAUAACUUUUUGCCUUCUUCCCCAAUUUCCUCUUCUGAAUAAUUACAGCUGAAUCAUCCUGACCUGCAAUUAUUGUAUCGAGUUUAGAUAAUUUAAUUUUAUAUUUCUACUACUGGAUCUAAACCGAAUGAAAGAAACGGAUCCUCGCUGUUCCACAAAUUGAUAACUCAUAAAUUUAAAAUCAUGUAUGCAGCUCUAACGAGCGCAAUGAAAUUUGAACAUACUUGGAGUAAUUCUGGGUGAGUAAUCUGAAGAAGACGGGCUGUGAAGAGCGCUAGCAGCAGAUUCAGAAUCUUGAGAAAAAGAAGAAUGUCUUUCUGGAGUUUAGAAAUUGUUUAUAGAAGUUUGAUUGGUAGUUUGUUGUAUUUGACAGCAAUAAGACCCGAUCUCAUGUUCGCGGUUUAUGCAAGCUCCAAGUCAAGUUCAUCUUGGUGUUGCUAAACGAACGUUGAUUAUGGUAUUUGGUUUAAAAGGGAAAAGCUAGGGCAGCUGAUGGGAUAGUGAUUGGGCAGGAAGCGUUGAUGAUAUGAAUUGCACUUCUGGAUAUGCUUUUACACUUGGUUCAGGCAUGUCCUCGUGGAAUUCAAAGAAACAAGAGGUGGUAGCUCAAUCUUCUGCUGGUGCAACUAAUCAGGCUCUAUGGUUAAGAAAAAGAUUCUACGUGAUCUGGAGUAAAAUGACAUUGAAUCUACUGUCAUUAAGGUUGACAACAAGUCAGCAAUACCUAUGGCCAAAAAAUCUAGUACAACAUGGUCGUAGCAAGCAUAUAAAUGUGAAGUUAUAUCUAAAUUGAAUUUUGUCCAUUAAUUUUUUUUCAGAGCUUUAAUUAGAAAAAUAAAUUAUUAUUUAAUAUCACUUUAAACUUUCAUUGUAUCUUAAUCAUAUUUUUGUUUAAUCUUAUUCUCUCCGUUUUUCAAAAAUUAAAAUGAUAAUACAUAUUUUUUUAAAAUCCGUAUACAACACUACAAGCAAUAACUUUUUUUGGCAUAACAUCUACUAAGUGACUUAUAAUUUAUUUAUUUUUCAAAAUUUAUGUAGGUACACAAAAUUUGGAUAUCAAGAAUUAGACAUUUGCUUUUGCCAUAUUUAUACAUAAAGAAGGGUACACACUCUUAUUAUAUUAUCUGUAUAACAAAUGCAUGGGUGAUCCAAGAGAUUAAUAUAUAUAAUCAUUAUUAUUUAUUUCAUUUUUUAAAUUCUUUAAUUCAAAUUCUAAUCUCUACAUUAUUUUUAAUGCUUGUGUCGUUGAAUUCAAAAAGUGAAAUUCUAUUGUUUAGAAGAUCCUUAGAGUAUAAAAGCAAUACAAGAGGUAUGUAUUCAUAAUUAUUUUUUGAGAAUUUAACAAGUUUGUCACUUUAUUAAUUCAUGUCUCUUUUUGUAUAGAUUUACAAUCUUAGCAUAAAAUAAAUUAGUAUGAUCACAAAUCUAAUACAAAAAUUUAGCAAAUAUGAUUUUAGUUAAUUAAAAAAAUACAUGCAAAUGAUCUCAAUUUUUUGUUGAAGUUAUCUAAGAUUCUAUGUUAUCUUGGUAGAGGUUAAAAGAUAAACUAUGGGAUGUAACAGAAUUAAUGUAAUGCAUUUUGGGUAGAAAUAGAAUAGAUGUAAACUCUAUUUUUAUGAAAAUAAGAAACAAUUAUUAUAUGUAUAUUGUGAAAUCAUGAAAUACUCGACUUUCUUUUGAUUACACAUAUGUAUUCAAGGCUCAUAUCAACAAGAGGUUUAAGAUGUCAAAUCUUCAAAAAUGCUUUGUCAGAAAGGUAAAGACUAAAUAACCCCAAUCUUUCAUACAUAUAGAUUUUUUUGAUUAAUUUAUUUGACCAAUAAUAUAAAGUUAAUAAAUAAUAUUAAAGAAUUGAAAUAAUAGAUAACGUGAUAACGAUAUGCAAAAACUAUUUGUUUUAUAAUAUUCAAAGUAUAAGCACAUGACGUUACAAAAAUAUUAUUAUAAUUAGUAAAGAUAAUGAUAAAUUUAGAAAAACAAAUUUUAAAUAAGUAUUAUUCCAUUCCAAGUGGCAGUCUAAUACCAAGGCACUUGAUAGUUUAGAACAAGACUAAAACAAAAAAUAAUAAUUUAUAAUUAAAAAUUCAUUUAAAAAUGUCAUGACAAAAAAAGAAAGAAGAAGAAAACGUUAAUAAAUGGUUAGUUAAAAUGCAUAUGUAAAAUUAAAAAAAGAAAAAAGAUAAAUAUCGAGAAAAAUAAACUAAUCUAAAUUAUCCCUAAAAUUUCUCACCCAUUUACCUAUAUCUGCGUGUGUCAGAAAAAUCAACAUAAAUAUUUUUGAAUUAUCUUUUUUUACAAGAAUAAAUUUAAAAUAUUAUGAAUCCGUAUUUUAAAAAUAGUGCCACAUGUUAUCUCGACUUUUCAGUUUGAAUAUUUAAAAAAAAAAUUAUCUUCAAAACAAAUAAUUUUAUAAAUAAUUAUGUAAAAAUUUGUCAAAUAAAAUUAUAAAAAACACCAACGGAAAGUUAUAUAUUAUUAAUAAUUUGCAUAUUUUCUAAAGAAAUAAAUUUAUUAAUUAAAAAAAUACUAAAAAUUUUCAACAAAUGUUUUUUUUAAAAAUCUACAUCGAUAAUAAUUUGAAAAUUAAAAUAUAUUAAACAAAAAUAACGUUAUGGACAAAAAUUAAUAAUGUCAAACACAAUUGAUUUAAUCAAAAUAAAAGAAACAAAAGAUAUAUUUCAAAUUUUGUUUUGCUUCUUUAAUAGAAAAAAUAGAACAUUACUAAAAAAAAUGGAGCAAUUUUAAUUUUGAUUUACGAUAAUUAAAUCAUAGGAGAAGACUUAAAAAUUUUACUCUCAAUUUUUUCAUUUACUCUCUCUGCAAAUAAUUAAAUUCUUGCUCAUAUAAUUCUCUAUCUCAAAUUUUUUGGUUUAUAUAAUAUGCAUUAUUUUUAUUUUUUGUAGUGCCUAAAUUUUUCAUAUUUCUUGAUACUAACUAUGCAUAUGAAGAUGUUGAACACUGCAUUUAUUAUAUAGAAACGUGUGAAUAAUAAAAUCUAAAAAUAUUAAUAAGUGAAUAAUAAAAUUUAUAUAAUAAUUUUAAUUUUAAAAUUAUGAUAUUUAAAAAUAUCCGUGCAACGCGCGGGUACGAAUACUAGUUAAGUUGAAAAGAAAAAGAAAAGAACUAUCCAAGUCCACAGAACCCCUUGUGUGUCCUUAAUAAAACGGAUUAACCAUUAAAAAAGUAGCAGUAACUCUAACUUCGAUAAUUUCAUCGAACUCAAAAAGACAACACACAUAUCACACGAUCGAUCGAUUUUAUUUUGUAAGAAAUGUAUGCAAAAGAAGGGAAGAAUUUUAUUUUGAAAAAUGAGAGAAAGUCUCUCUAUUUAUAGUCAACAAAGGGUAAAAGUCACAACUCUUUGGGGAAAAAAUAACAUUUCACGACCUUUUGAAAAAGGCACAACCUUUGAAACGGUCGCAACCCUUUAGAAAAGACACAACCUUUCAUAAAGGUCACAACCCUUCAAGUAUUGAAUCACCCAAAAUAAAUUGUGAUUGCAAGAAGUAAUAUAAUAGUUUCUUAAUUUUGUAUCACAUCAAUUAAAUACAAGUAGUUGGUGCAUCUUAGCAAUUACCAGCACCCCCAAACAAAAAAUAAUAAUCCCAGUAACUAUCUCGAGCAUUAUGCUCACUUCCUUCAUAGUAACAUCUAGAUUGAUGAGUUUGAACCAACGAUUCAUUUGGUUGAACAUUUUGAUUAUCGCCCACUCCAUACAGGACUUGACGCAUAUAACAAGUGUAGUGUGGAUCGCCACCAUUAAAUUUACUAUUUCCCAUGGGUGGACUUGGUUCACCCGCUGGUGUAUACACCUGUCCUCCAUAUCGUAUUGUCUGCGAUCCAUUUCUUAAUUCAUUGAAAAUGGUCUCCGGCCAAAAUCCAAUAACAAACAUAUAACGCAAGAAAAGAUAAUAGUCUGCAAAAAUAAAUAACACCAGAGUUACAACAACAUACUUGUUGAUACUGACAUUAAUAUUCCAAAGUAUUACAACAACUAUCGUAAUUUUAUUUACCUUCAUCCUUGUAGAUCUGAAAUUGCAUGUCAUAGUCACCAUAAAAUGGCCUAGAGAUUUGUGGGAAAGCAUAAUCUAUUGGUACUUCAUUAUCAAGUUGAACAAAUCCUGGACAAAUAUUGUUGUAACAUCCUGUUUUUUGGUUGCCAUCUGUCUAUUUAAUUCAAACAAAAUGAAAUUUACUUAUUCUACAUGCUUUUGAAUUAUUUCUUUUAGAAAAAUAUCAAUUAAUUUCUAAUAUACUUACUGUCCAAUGGGAGUAUAACCGAGUCCGGUUAUCACCGUAUAGUUUUGGAUGUACCUAAACCAAACAAACAUCAUGACUUUAGGAAAUCGAAUCGUCAAAAAAUACUUAAUAGGUUCAAAUCAUUGAUUUGAUAUAAAAACUUACAAUCCAUCCGGCUUGUAUUUGCUCAAAAUUCGUCGCGUUAUCCGCACUUUGAAGAAAUAAUGUUGCGGAACUAUAUUGGCCAAGUCCAUUUAGUUGUGGAUUAUACAAAGUAACAGUGGCUGAGACACUUGUAAAACUUUUUAUUUCUGGAGAUGCGUUUACGCUAAUUCCUGCAAACUGAAGUAUAGUAUUACAUUAAAUUAAUUAAAAUAACUAUUUGAAAUUGAAUUUUUUGACUAUUAAUGAUAAAUUUUAAUAAUUAAAUAAGUAGUUACAUCGAUGAUAUCUUCAGUGAGGGAUUCAUUUGCCAUGCUUAAGGAGGCAUCUUUUGCGCUUUGGAGUUGUUCUUGUGUCAUUCGUCGUAUAGGGACCGUUCCAAUCGGACAACCUUUUUUGUUCAACCAGAACUCUUCUGCUUUAAAAUAAAUAUUUUCAUCCUUUUGUAAUCGCUUGACUUUAACUGAUCUUUGUUUUUCUAGCUCCUUAGCAAUUGUUCUCUGUUGUUCCGAAAAUCCACAUGCGUGCAGAAAAAAAGAAAGAAUUUUAAAGAAACUACAAGUAAGAUAUUACUGAAAAUAAAUAUAUGUAAGGGUAAUAUUUUACUAGUCAUUUUGUGACAGUUGCAUCUCUUUUCUGUCUUUUCAUUAUUUUGAACAAGAAUCAAUGACAAGGAUAGAGUUAUAGUCAGCAAAAAGUGAUCAUUCAAUAUUUUUUCAAAAGGUUACACUACAUAUACUAUAUAUUAAACAUUAAUUUUAUACCUAAUUAUAUAUAAAAAUCUUCAACAUUCUUAACAAGAUUCAUGGCAUCACUAAUUAAUUUGAUGUUUAUAAGAAAUAGUUAAACGCUAGUUUAUUAAGAAUCUGAUUUUAAUUAUGAAUUAAUUAUAUCUUAAGGAAAUAGAUUUUGGGGUUAACUCAACUCAAUAAUAAGAUAAUUAACUUGGAUCUAUAACUUGAACUCUUAACAAAAAUUAGUAACAUUUUGGGAAGACACCUUAUGUGAAUUACUAGUACUAGAUUUUUCUUUCAAAUUGUUAAAAAAAUUGUAUAAAUUAUUAUUUAAAAUUCAGUAAAACUAUCAAAAUUCAUAAAUCCAUAAGUUUAAAAACUUGAUCCCAUCUUUGAUAAAAAUACAAAACAUCACAAACAACAGUAUUGUGUGCUAUCAACUUUUGUUUCUCAAAAGAAAAGAAAAAGUCAGUUAAGUUGUAUGAGUAUAAAUAAUGCACCUUGAUUCUUUCUUUGUGUGGUAUCGGGUGCAAAAGAGUUGGUUGUUUAUAAAUAUCCACACAAUCAUAAAAAUCUCCGUGAAUAGUCUGCAAACAUAAAUUAAUUUCACUACAAAUUAUUCAUUAAGAAAUGACAUAUAAACUUUGCUAUAAAAGAUAUGAAAACUAUACCUCAACGACGAGAUCUGCAUUUUGGCUAGACCCAUAACCUUUAGCCAAACAAAAAGCAAUGGUGGUCCAAACUAAAAUAAUGAAGCAUAUAGUUGUAAAUAUCAACGCCAUCUUUGUUUUUCAUUAUCUUUAUGAAAUAACGUGUAUAUAUAUAGUGCAAAAGAAAUGGUUAUUUAGGCAAACAUGGUAUGCAAUCUGAUUAUCUAAUUAAAUGAUGGAUAAUAUUCAAAUAUAAUUAAUAAUAUUUAUUCCAAAUUUAGUCAUUGCAAAAAUAUUCUCCAAAUUAAUUAGUAUCCACUGACAGUGGACAACAAAAUUAUGCUAUCGGUUUAUUUUUAGAAAAAUUAUUGAGUAUUUUCAUAUAUUAUUAGUAUUUUAAUAAUAAUAACAAAAAACAUAUUAUGAUUAGGAUUCCAAUUUUAAAAGAUUUGAUUUAAAUGCCUUUAAUAUUCAAAUACAAUGAAUAAUAUUAAUACCAAAUUUAGCCAUUGCACAAACAUUCUCCAAAUUAACUAGUAUCACUAAUAGUAGACGAUAAAAUUCACUAUCAAUUUAUUUUUAGAAAUAUUAUAAAGUAUUUUCAUAUAUUAUUAAUAUUUAAAUGAAAAUAAUAAAAAUAUAUAAUGCUUUUUUGUUAUUUUUAUUUAAAUAUUAAUAAUAUGUGAAAAUACUUCAUAAUAUUUCUAAAAUUAAACAGACCGUGUAAUUUUGUAAUCUGCUUGUCCAUCGAUACUAAUUAAUUUUUUUCUUUUUGGUACAUUCCUUUGUUAUUCAUAUCCUAGUAUAUAUCUCUAAUGUAUAAUGUUCAAAUCUAUAACGGUGAAUCGGAUCUUUCCUUAUUUGGUUGUCUACCUAAUUAUUUAGGUCUCAAUCGACACCAUUUUUAUAGCUUACUUUAUAUAUCAAUUAUUAAAUAAAAUUUAAGUAUGAUAUACAUAAUUGAUUUAUCCUUCAUAAUAUUUAGAAUAUGUAUAACUGUAAAUGUUGUCCUUCAUAAAUGUUAAUGUAUAUCUAUAAUAAAUUUAUAUAAAUAAUUAGUAUAUAUCAACUAUUUAACAAAAUUUAAGUAUAAUAUACAUAAAUUACUAGGGGUGUACAUGACCGGGUUGGUUUGGAUUUUUCAACUAUCAAACCAAACCAUUUGUGUAAAAAAAUUUAAAUUUAUAAACCAAACCAAACUAAUAAAAUUCGGGUUUUUUCGGGUUUUUCAACCUCGGGUUGGUUCGGAUUUUUUUAGAUUUUUGGAUUUUUUCGCAUACAAACAUAUAAUUACAUAUAAUUAACUUGUGCUCCAAAUAUUUCUUUAGUCCAACCAAAAUACAAUUAUCUAAGGUGUUUCUUAAGAAAAUAACACAAAAUAUGUAUUUUAAUUGUCUAAACCAAUGUAAAACUAAAGAACAAAUAUUCAAUAUUAUUGUCAUUCUUAGUGUUGAAUUGAUUUUCUUUUUGCAUUAGUAUUAAUUUGAUUUUGAUUUAAGUUUUAUUAUAAUUAUCAACAUCUAUGAACUAUAAUCUUUAUUGGACUAUUCCGAAUUCUAAGUUUUAAAUUUGAAGUAAUAUAUUAAAAGAUAAAAACUAUGAAAUAGUAUAAGAAAUAUUUUAAAAUUAUAUCAAUGUAAAUAUUUUUAUGUAUAAAAUAAAAAUUUAAAAUUACAUAUAUAAUGUUGAGUUGGUUUGAUCUCGAGUUGGUUAUUUAGUUAAAACCAAACCAACCCAAAUAUAGUCGGGUUUUUUUUUUCAAUACCAAACCACUAGUCGGGCUUUUUGUUCGGUUUGACUCGGUUUACGGUUUGGUUCGGUUUUCGGUUCGGUUUUGUACACCCCUAUAAAUUACUUUGUCCUUCAAAAUGUAUUCCUUCCUACGGAAUAUCAAAAGGUAAAAACUUACGCAUACUUGGUGUAUACAUCAAAUUAAUACAGUUUUUAUGGCUACGUGAUUUAAUGAAGUAAAAUGCAUGUUAAUUAAUUAAGAUUAAGUAAAAUAAAUUAUAAAUUCAAACACAUAUCAUGUAUGUAUUGGGUUGACGUAUACCAUAACAAACCCAAAUUGCUCAUUAUAUUGAUAAGAGAACUGAAACGCGAUUACAACUUUAGAAUCGUAAUUGCAAUAGCCAAACUACUGAAUUACAAUGGAAAUAUGAAAAUAACAAGUAACUAAGAUAGAGAUAAGAAUUGAGAUGUGAAGCUUAAUUAGACUCUAGAAGAAGAAGAGAGGAACAAACGUUUUUCUUCAAUAUGCAUAAUCCUUAUGUGUUAACUCCAAGACCUAUUUAACCAAUUGAUAAUUGGGCCUGGAUCCCAAAUAAAACUCUCCAACAUUUUAAUCAGCCCGAUAAUCUUAAAUGGACCCGUCUCAUUCACCCCUUUCAGGACAUAGGCCCUUAUGUAGUUAGUUUCGUUCACAACAAUACUCCCGCCCUCAAUGAGAACCUUGUCCUCAAGGUUCGACUCAAGGAAUGAAAAAUAUUUAUGAAUAUCCACCCACAUAGUGAGACUAAUCUAGCAAGCGCUACCAAGUAUCCAUGAGUACCCAUUUCCUUAAGUAGUAACAAAUCUUUAAAUUGUAACUCAAAGAAAGUAAUAUAAGUGUUACACUGGAAAACACUGCAUCAUGUUGCCUGUAGACACUAAGUCCAAAAUGAAUCCACCAAUUGCAAAACACUUGAUAUGAAUUGCCUUUUCAAAAUGGAAGCAUAAGGGAGUGGUUGCAAUAAAGGCUUCAGGAAGCAAGGAUUCUUUGAAUUUUUCAAUCCUCUCAAAAGCAACAAUCAAAUUGAUAUCAAGUAACUAAUUAACGAGAGUCGUGGAAUUGAUAAACUUACCACUAUACAGUAGAGUAGAACUAAUAAGAUUUCUUGUCGAUGAGUCAUAGAAACUUGCUUUAACCUGAUCCAUAUAUAUAGCCUCAAGAUUGGUGUAGAUAUCAGCAAGUGAUACCAUGAAAGAUGAAAGAUGUGACCUGAAUCAAAGUUGAAAUCUUCAGUACAACAGCAUCAUAAUAUUCCAAUUUCAACUCCACCAGCACACACCCUUUCAUACAACUGUGUAGUGUAACCUGUACGUCUUUUACAAUUCACAUGCAUUUGAUGUUGUAUGUAAAGGUUCAUUAUCAAUAGACGGACAACUAAAAUCAUCCUGCCAGUUGGCCACAGAAUUACAAAAGGGAACAAUCCAUAGUAUGACGACAUCAUAUUCUAAAUGGGAACUCCUCAUAUAUAUGACAACAAAUUACACAAGUGGAAAGUCUAUUGCAAUCGUCCAAAGUGAUACCAAUUUGCACAAAAUAUGAAACUCUGCACCUGGAUAUUUAAUUAGUGUUGUUACAGCGCCCUUCUCCACAAUUUUUUUGUCUCCAAAAGUAGAGUCUAUUGCAAAGAUAUAAGGACCGGGAUCGAGGACAAUAUUCCUGUUCCCAAUGUAGUGCUCUAGAAAUCACUCUGAUUUCUGCUAAUCAGAGUUGGUAGAAUUAACAACUUUUGAGAAUUAUCUUUGAUCUCUUCGUCAGAAGGAAGUAGAAUCAGAGGAAUUGUUAGUAUCCUCAUGCAUCAAUCACAGUAUCUAUGCAGGAUAUAUAGCUCAUUGAAGUAUCUAACAACAGCUUUUGAGACUUGUCUGUUGCCUUUUAUCCAAGAUUGAAUUGAUUUUCAUCCAUGAUCUUGUUAAUCCUUAAUGUGAAAGUAGGCAGUAUUAGAGUCUCCCUCAUGUGAAAGUAGGCAGUUUUCUGUUUUAACAACACCUUAUCUUGUGCAUCUCUAUUAUUACACCAAGUAUGUAUAUAUUCCCAGCAUGAAGAUUUGUGAUACAAACAAGUUUGUUAUUUUAUAUGCAAUUAUGUAUCAUGUAUAUAAUAAUUAUUUUGCAAAUUUGUAGUGAUGUGUACCAUACUUAUCGGAUACAAAUUUUUCUGAAGUACUACCUAUAUUGAACACAAAAUUAAAAGCGAAAAUAAACAAUUUUAAACUUAAGAACUCUUCAAAUUUAGAAGUAUUAUGUUAAAAGGGUAAUAAAUACUCCAAAACACUAAUUACUGUAUCUUAAAAAACAAAUAAACAUCAACACCUGUCUGUGAACAGGAACAUGGAAAACUAGUCUACAUUAACAAGUUCAUUUUCUGCGGCUGGAGUUAAGUCACACUUCAGCCUUAUAGGGUCAUCAUUAUCGCUAACAUAUCCCGCCUUAGCCUUGUUGAGACCAUACUUCCAUAACAGUGUUGCGUAUCUUUUGCAAAGAUAUUCACCUCGAAAACCAUUAUAUGAAUGUUGAUUUUGUCGCUCAAGAAUUCAGCAAAUACAGCUAAGAACAUUCCGCACUCACUACAAAAAAUAAGAAGAUUAAUUAUAAAAAUGAAUUAGAUACAAAAAUUAAAGAAAGAGUGAUACAAUACUAGCAGGCUAUCACAUUUGGGAUCUGACCUUGGUAGUUGCAUUUGAGAAUAUUCAAAUAUGGAUCAAAUAUAGUAUCCUUGAAUAAUUGAAUACCUUCAUCCCCUAUUGACAACACUAAGUCUUGAAUGAAAUUUAUAUUGUGAGUAGGGCAAAACUUAAGGGAGUGUUUUGGAAUCUGUUUAAUUAUAUAAUUUAUAUUCUGCAAUUCAAAAAAAUGAUGUUGAUCACUAAAAAAGGAUCCAGAUGAUACAUACAAAUCUGAAUGAGAAUGAUUUUGAACUAAAAUAUGAAUAAAAAUAUAAACUUGUAUCUGAUACAUAAUUCUAACUACACAUUAUCUUUCACUCAAAUUGAUACUUAAUAGUAACAAAAACUUUGAAGAUGAUACAUUAUGUUGUUCUACAACUUACACAGGGCCGGCUCUUGCCUAUAAUAUUUUAGGCAUUGGCCUUAGGCCCCCAAUUUUUGGGGGCCUCAAUUUUUUAUAAAUAAAAAAUUAUGUUUCUUAACCCUAUUCAAAUAGAAGAAAUUAAGAAAACAUUAUUUUGGAUUCUUACAUUUUCUUCGUUAACACUCACAUUAUUUAUUCUUUGUAACUCUUUUUGCACUCUAUUUCUUCAAAUCUUUGAUAGUUAGAGUAAUACACUCUCAAAAAUAUGAAUCAAUAGUCGAAAAGUGUUGAACAAAGUGCAUUACAAAUUCUUUUUUUUAAUUUAUUUGUUAAUUUUCAUAUUAAAGUAGGUAUACCAAGUUAUCAACUUUUUGAAUCAGAUUCUAUGAUUCUAACUCUUAUCUUUAAAGUUUAUCAACUUAUUACUUAUAAAAUUGUGUUAAUAAUUCAUAUAAUAAUUGUCUCAAUAAAAGGAUGUUUUUCAAUGUUGAAUUGAUAAAAUCUUACUUAAAACUAAUAAUUAAAAAAAAGUGUUUGAAAAAUCAUUUAUAUAAAAGAUAUUAAGUAGUAAUUUACAUCUAGAAAUUUAGAAAAAUAAAUAGAUAUAGAUAAAAUUUAUAUAGAUUUUAGGCCUCUAAUAAAAAUUUCGCUUUAGGCCACAAAUUAUGUUGAGCCGCCCCUGAACUUACAUGUAAUCCUCUAAUUUGAGCUUUAAUCUUUCAUAAAUUUAUCAUAACAAAAAAAUGACCAAAAAUGAAAUUUUAUUUAUAAAAAUGAUUAAUUGAUACUCAAUACCAAUAUAUUUGAUAGAUUAAUCAUAAAUAUCAACCAUUCUAUCUCAUUAUUUGAAUUUUAACUUUUUGAUACAUUAGUCGUUAUAAAUCAACAAUAUGUACCAAAUAUUAGGAUUUUUGUGUUAGAAAAUUAGAUUUCAACCAAUAUACAUAAUAAUUUUUUUUAACAAUAAUGUAUCUACUAUAAAGCAAAUAAGAACAUGUGAAUACAGAAUAUUAAAAAUAAAGACAAAAAGUAUUAAAAUACAAACAGUGGGUAGUGCAGGUCGGGAUAUGGUUGGGGCAACCUUUCUAUCCCUUUUCUUUGGUGUUUUUGCCACUUUUGCUUCCGAUGAUGCAUGUACCUCCUUUUUAGUUUUCUCCUUCUUUGAACUUUGCUUAGCCAUUGUUAGAGGAUCAUGCAACCUCUUAGACCUGUUUUCUGUCCAGUUGUAAUCUUCAUAAUCAAAGAUUCGAUUAGUGUUGGGCGUGACUAUUUGGGUAAUCCCAAUACUAAAAGAAGGAGGAUUCAUAAAGUAUCAGAAAAUCGAAGAAAAAAACUAAGAAGAAAUUUGAAGAGGAAGAGACUACCUAUUAUAAACUCUGAAAUUGGUUGAAUGGAGAGAGAAAUCGUCUGAAAUUCAAAAUUGAAAGAAUGUGAUAAUUGAAAUGAAUCUGGGGAGAAAAUGGGGGAGUAAAUUUAGGAGUGGGAAACGUUAGUUGGGUGUUCUUGAACAAUAAUAAAUCUGUGGAGAAAUUAGAGGAGUAAAUUUAGGGGUGGGAAGCGUAGGUUGGGACUUCUUCAAGAAUAAUGUAUCCGGAGGUUUUGUUUUGUGGGAGAAAUAGGGAUUUUUGUAUUUUUUUGAAAUAGUUGGGAAAUAUAGAGAAUAUGUUAACUAAGUGUGUGUAUUCUAGUAAUUUAUCCAUAAAAGUAAACUCUCCAACAUUUUAAUCAGCCCAAUAAUCUUAAAUGAACCGGUUUCAUACACCCCUUCCAGCCCAUAGGCCCUUAUGUCGUUAGUUCUGUUCACAACAUAUACACCAGAUAGGUUUUACCCAAAUCAAAAUGUGAGUCUCUAUAAUACUUGUACAACUGACUAUGAAUUAUUUAGCAAAAUUUAAGCAUGAUGUACAUGUAUCUUUGAGACUUGAAGAAGUCUAUUACCAUUGACAAUCAAGGAGUAGCAAUUACUGGAAAUGUGUCAGUAAAUCAAGUCUUUUGUCAUCAGAAUGCAAAUAUAUGGUCAUGAUACUCUAUCAUACGCUUUGGCCAUAUAUAUCCAAUUUGAGCACUACAUUCCCUUCCUCAUUCCUGGGAUAAUAGAAUAUUUUCUGUAAUAGAUCUUCCUUUGAUGAAAUCACUCUGAUUUCUGCUAAUCAGAGUUGGUAGAAUGGAUAACUUUUGAGAAUGCUCUAGUUAUAGGUCUCAUGUCUGAAAAUUGUUAUGGAGAAUUCCCCUUAGGGAUCAUGGCAAUACAAGUAUCACGAGCCAACCAUUUAGCAUGGCCUUCACAACCUCAGGUGCAAUAGUAGACCAGCUAAUUUGUUGUGUACCCAUCAGACUAUCAGGAUCCAUAGUGAAAAGGCUAUCUUUGAUCUCUUCUUGAGAAGGAAGUAGAAUCAGAGGAAUUAUUAGUAUCCUCAUGCAUCAAUCACAAUAUCUAUGCAGGAUAUAUAGCUCAUUGAAGUAUCUAACAAUAGUCUGUUGCCUUGUACCCAAGAUUGAAUUGAUUUUCAUCCAUGAUCUUGUUAAUCCUUAAUGUGAAAGUAGCUAGGUAGUAUUAGAGUCUCCCUCAUGUGAAAGUAGGCAGCUUUCUAUUUUAACAACACUUUAUCUUGUGCAUCUCUAUUAUUACACCAAGUAUGCAUAUUCCCAAAAAAGACAGAAACUUGGACUCAAACAUGAGAGUCAAACCCAAAAGACUAGUCUGAUAAGUAGGGGAACCAAUUUGAUUAACAUAUAAAUCAAUUAGCAUUUCUCUGUUUAUCUGAUGAGGAACAAUUGGCACAUAAUACAUAAGUUUGCUUUCUAAUUGUACAAGCCUACAACCAAGUUUGACAUAAACUGAUCCAAGUGAAAAAUUAAAAGAAUUUUUCUUUCUUUUACUAGAAAUUUUACAUGUAUGCUUGCUCUCUAGAAGCUAACAAGACUAGAAGAAAAGAGACCUUUCUCUUGCCUUGUAUACUAGUAAAAACACAAACAUGCACAUCUACAACAAACUUUAGAUGUCAAUUGUCUCAACAGGAAGUAAGCACCAGCAACUUUUUCAACAAAAUCUGAUAACUGUCUCAAAAUUUUCAAUAAAUUUGAUGGUAACGAGAAAAACAGAAAAAGGGCAGUUACAACGAGCCAACAAACAGCAAAACCAAAGUUUUCAUCCUUGUCAACAUGACAAACCAAGAACUUUUCCACCAACAUUCUUUCUCCUAGCCUCUUCAUGGUCCAUGAUUCCAGCUGAGGUAGUCAGCACAAUGUACCCGAACUGCAAUUUGAAACCAAUACGUAAAGAUCAGAACAUAAAAAUAGAUAAUAUACAGAGUAAAACUGACUAACAACUAAGACUUGUACUACAUCUGUGAUCGCUGAAAAUAUCUGCAAUUUCAUUUGCUUGGUAUCAAGUAUCAACUACAUAUGAUGCUUCAAUCCACAAAGAAACACACUUCUCAUGGACAGCAGAUCAAGACUUUGUUAGCCAAGCCAUAGGAUACAAAAUUUCUCCUUUGGAUAGACAGGAAUGCUUCCUUUACAAGAGAGCCUCAACUGCAAAGAGCGCUUGCUCCUUUGGAUGGAUGGGUCUUGUAAGCAUUACAGAUGAGUACUCAAGAUUUUUACUGCUUAAGAAGAAGCAAUAAUUUUCAAAUAUCAUUUUCUCCCUUUGAAACAAAACUACUUUUUUCAAAUUUCACAAUGAAACAUUGGUUAAACGCCCAUAUAGCAAGCCAAUUCAUGAUUCGGCAAAGAAGUAAGGAAUCAAAAAUUAGUAAUGUCUAUUUCACAAGCUAAUAUGACCAUGACUUGACAUUCACCCCAACAAUCAUUUCGGCUCAAUUUGGAGAUAACCGGAAAUGGAGUUCCAUAUAUUGAUCAAAGUGAAUAUAUUAAUUACUAUACCUGUCGGGAAGGGAGGGAGCAAUCUAGCAGUCCAUCCUUCAAUCUCCAACAUCGAAGCGAGGACUAAUGACACCACACUUGUGUAGCCUUCCAUUCAGUUCGACAACAAUCUUUCCGGACCUAUGAUCAUCGACAUACUCAAAUUCUCCGAUGUAACCUACACAUAGAUACCAACAGUAAUAAAAUGAUUUUGUUAGUAUCCUCAUCAAUCACAGUACCGAUGUAGGAUAUAUAGCUUUUGAAACUUGUCUGUUGCCUUGUACCCAGAGUAGAUUGAUUUUGUUUUAGCUAUAACAAUAGCUUGUGAAAGUAGAGUCUCCUUCUCUUUCUGUUUCAGCUAUAGAGUCUGGAUUGUUAUUAAGAACCAGCUGACUGUAGAUGUCUCCAUAGACCAACUAACUACUAAGCUUAGUAGAUGUCCUCUUUAAUCAUGGAAUUGAGAAUGCUUAGGAACUCAUCUUCACAAUUACUGAACUGCACUGAAAGGAAGAUAUUAUUGAUGUUUGCAUAGCUAGCAUCCUUGAAGGUCAAGCUUUCUCGUGUAGCUGCUCGAUCUGCCUGUACAAAAGGUUCUUGCAAACAUAUGAAUGAAAGUAGAGAGUCUUGAGUCUUUCAAAAGCACUUUGAGUCCUAACACUCCAAGAAAUGGUGUUAAAUCAUUCAAAUGUGUAUAUGUCGAUUGAGUGUAUGCGAUUCUAUAUCUUAAGUAUUGUUGGACAUAAGUUUACAUAUACACGACAUACAAAAUAAAUAUAGACCAUCUUAUCAUACAAUUCGUAAUUUCAAAUAUAAGCAUCAAUAUAAUUUACAAGGGAGUGACCAUUGAACUUCUAUGAGGCCUACUAGGCCGCCUAUACCAAAUAACAACCAAUGACAUACAGAAAAAUAAACCCAAAAUUACAAACGUCAUUAUUACAUUUAAAUAAUUCCUACUAGAACUUUUAUUGGGGGGGAAGUUGGGAAGAAGAGGUGGUGAAGAGGGUGUGUAAUUCCCUUCGUAUUCUAUAAUGGCGGUUGUAAUUUUAUUCGUGUCGUGUGUCUGACUAAUAUUUGUUCCUGCAACCAUAUAAUAAUAAUCUGGCUGCUGGUUCGCCUCGAAGAUACAAUCCACCGAUUGUUGUAUACUCAAUUCGACGUAGUCCGUUGAAAAUGGCUUUGUUAUAGGACUUCCAUCCAUCGCGACUACGGUUAAGUUGUGCCUUGCAAUCCCAAAGAAAAGUGUUUUACUCAUUGCAGCGUUCACAACUCUGAGAAGAUAUGUCUUCCCAGUAUUCACUACUAUCCUAAACGUUCCUGUACAUUUUAAUUAAUAAAGGAAAAUUAAUAUGAGUGCAACAAACAACUCGAAAAAAAUAAUACGUAAAAUCUUGCUGUCCUAGGGAGCAGUACUGCAUAUAUAUAUAGGCAAGAAUCGCAAAAUAUUAUAUUGUUAGAAAUCAAACAGGAACCAAUUUAAUUAACUUAUAAAUCAAUUAGCAUUUCUCUGUUUAUCUGAUGAGGAACAAUUGGCACAUAAUACAUAAUUUUCCUUUCUAAUUGUACAAAUUAAAAGAAUUUUUCUUUUUUGAAUUUCAAUACAAUUACAACCUAGUACAGCUAAUUAAUGCAUCUUUCUUUUAUCAAAUUCUCAAGGCCCCACCCACCAUUACUUGGAAAAAGUCGUGUCUUUUCCUUGGCUACUAUUAGGAAAUUAAAAGUCUAAUUAAUUA
Molecule: long non-coding RNA, 24347 nt
Filed under: Solanum tuberosum (potato)
Lineage: Eukaryota; Viridiplantae; Streptophyta; Magnoliopsida; Solanales; Solanaceae
Description: long non-coding RNA (STUB_LNC004996)
Source: RNAcentral